This 77-nucleotide transfer RNA is filed under the name Vogesella perlucida. RNAcentral's name for it is "tRNA-Ile". It matches the Rfam family "tRNA". Rfam says of the family: Transfer RNA (tRNA) molecules are approximately 80 nucleotides in length. RNAcentral also lists the same sequence under 3 other names. Lineage: Bacteria; Pseudomonadati; Pseudomonadota; Betaproteobacteria; Neisseriales; Chromobacteriaceae. The record is from RNAcentral.
GGGUUUGUAGCUCAGCCGGUUAGAGCACUGUGUUGAUAACGCAGGGGUCGUAGGUUCGAGUCCUACCAGACCCACCA